Molecule: ribosomal RNA, 465 nt
Filed under: Vreelandella stevensii
Lineage: Bacteria; Pseudomonadati; Pseudomonadota; Gammaproteobacteria; Oceanospirillales; Halomonadaceae
Description: partial 16S ribosomal RNA
Rfam family: Bacterial small subunit ribosomal RNA
Source: RNAcentral
CCUACGGGGUGCAUCAGUGGGGAAUAUUGGACAAUGGGCGAAAGCCUGAUCCAGCCAUGCCGCGUGUGUGAAGAAGGCCUUCGGGUUGUAAAGCACUUUCAGUGGGGAAGAAAGCCUUGGGGCUAAUACCCUCGAGGAAGGACAUCACCCACAGAAGAAGCACCGGCUAACUCCGUACCAGCAGCCGCGGUAAUACGGAGGGUGCGAGCGUUAAUCGGAAUUACUGGGCGUAAAGCGCGCGUAGGCGGUCUGAUAAGCCGGUUGUGAAAGCCCCGGGCUCAACCUGGGAACGGCAUCCGGAACUGUCAGGCUAGAGUGCAGGAGAGGAAGGUAGAAUUCCCGGUGUAGCGGUGAAAUGCGUAGAGAUCGGGAGGAAUACCAGUGGCGAAGGCGGCCUUCUGGACUGACACUGACGCUGAGGUGCGAAAGCGUGGGUAGCAAACAGGAUUAGAUCCCCGAGUAGUC